Molecule: small nucleolar RNA, 75 nt
Filed under: Neotoma lepida (desert woodrat)
Lineage: Eukaryota; Metazoa; Chordata; Mammalia; Rodentia; Cricetidae
Description: Small nucleolar RNA SNORD53/SNORD92
Rfam family: Small nucleolar RNA SNORD53/SNORD92
About the family: U53 is a member of the C/D class of snoRNA which contain the C (UGAUGA) and D (CUGA) box motifs. Most of the members of the box C/D family function in directing site-specific 2'-O-methylation of substrate RNAs.
Source: Rfam by way of RNAcentral
AUGCUGUGAUGAUACAUGGUUUCACAUCCAGCUGAGUUUCAGCAAUGGCACCUUUCUCCUUGGCUGUCUGAGCUU